CAGCCCUUCAAGCAUGCCAAAAAUUAGUAAAUUUCAGCCAUUUUACGUUGGCAAAUGGCAAUUUUAACUUUAUAUAUGCCUCAAGUUGUGAGCUGUACGAAAAUCAGCAAUCAAGCCUAUACAACAAGCAUCAAUCAUGCUUUGCAAAUAGUGAAAUAAAUGCAAGAAGUCAUAUUUGUACCGAAAUUGCAAAAAAUUGUGGAUUUGACAGCCACCAACAACAACGAAGUUCAAGGAAAUCGCAAACGAAAGAGAAAUGAAUAAUAAAAUGCAUGCGCUUGGACAUGUGGCAAGCAGAAAUGAGGCAAUUUGUUGUACUUCACACGACAGUGAAAAGUGUUUAAG
Molecule: long non-coding RNA, 345 nt
Organism: Bactrocera neohumeralis
Lineage: Eukaryota; Metazoa; Arthropoda; Insecta; Diptera; Tephritidae
Exons: 2
Source: RefSeq, a predicted model, not a curated record